AAACUAUUUCAGCAGACCUAUAAAAAUGUAAUAAAAUCAAGCAAAAUCAGAGUAAAUGUGAUCCCGCAAUGAGCAGAAAUAUUAGUAUUUCUAAAGGCAAACUCUACAUGCAACAAUAUAUUAUUUAUACUCUGAAGGGUCUGUAAAAUAGCCAUAUUGUUAAACUAAAGGAAUUUUCAGUAUUUUGUAUUUUGAAAAGUGCAUUGCAUUGGGAUUUAGGUUGAAAGAAAAUAUUCAUGUAAACUUAUCAGAUUUACCAGCGCAUUCAUUCAUGCCCUUUCUUUUUUCUUUCUUUUUUUUUUGUAGUUUUUAGUUCAGUAUAUUUUAUAUAAAUAUAUCUUCUUCCUAUAUAAUAUUUAUUCUAUAUUUUUUUAAUGUAAGUUAUGUGUUUGUUUUGUUUUAAAAUGUUAUUUUUGCCCCGCUUUAAGUUAUUGGUUCACUAGAGACUUUUAUUUUGAUGGCAAUAAUGCUGAUAAGUGCGAUUUGCCAAUAAAAAAAUAAGUUUAUUUUGAAGAGCGGUUCAAGCAGAAGCGGAAGUGAUCGCAGAUGGAUGAGUUUUUGGAUCACGGAGUUUCGAGUGUAAAUAAGAGAAUUAACAGCAGCGAAAGAGUCACUGCAAGGAAAAUAAAAAGGAAACAACGCAAACGUCAGUGCAAGAGCAAAGAGCUACCUCCCAAAAUGCUGAAACUGUCACUGAUCUGAUGAAACGGUUUCAACUCGGACCGAAGACCUCUGAGCCGCUGAAAUGCACAUUUAUGAAUGAAUGGUGAAAUUAAAGUUAUGAUUUCUCAUUGUUUUAUGCAAAAAGGUGAGCUGAUGAAGACAAGUUUAUUUACUUUCUAUGCUCUAGACAUGUUUCACAUCAUUACUGGAUGCUUUAAUGAUAGUUUUUGGCAUAUGUUACAGCAUUGCGUAAUCAAGUAAACAAACUAGUGAAGUUAAGCAGUUCCUUGAAACAGUUCAGACAUUCCGAAAAACACAGAGAUAAAGAAAACACUCUGCUCCCUCCACACACACACAUACACGUAUGUUUUUGUGAAAAGUGGGGACAUCCCAUAGGCGUAAUGGUUUUUAUACUGUAUAAACUGUAUAUUCUAUCGCCCUACACCAACCCUACACCUAACCCUAGCCCUCACAGAAAACUUUGUGCUAUUUCAGAUUUUCAAUACACUCCAUUCUGUGUGAUUUCUAUUGCGUUUUGAAAAGUGGGGACAUGGAGUAAUGUCCUGAAAAGUCACCUUCUGCUUGUAAUACCUGUGUUAUAUCCUUGUCAUUAUACACAUUUGUGUCCUGAUAUGUCACAAAAACACACACACACACACACACACACACACACACACACACACACACACACACACACACACAAGCAGGCAAGAAUAUAAAAACAGCUGUCUGUCAGUCUACCAGUGCUGUGUAAUGAGUAUAAUUUCUUUCUUUUGCAUUCUCUCUUUUGUAGGUAUUGACAAAGUCUUUUUAAAAUUCAAAACACCACGUUUUUAGCAUCUGUCUUGCAUUAUAGUACAGCCACUGCAGGCUACUUAUUUCAAAGCUGAUUUGACAUUAUAUGCAGCCUGCAUCGGAUUCAUACUUGAUUUCAACUGGUUUUGCUUUAAUAUACUUAUAGGGAGAAAUUUUAAACAAGUAUAUAAACAUGUUUUCCGAAAGUCAGCAUUUGGGCGUAACUUGUUCAACACCGGUUUCCUGUUUAUUUGCGUGACUAGCCGCAUCAUUUCCACAUAUAAUGAUAUAAUGAUCUGUAGGUUGUUUAUGCUCAAUUAAACAUAAUAGUGCUGUGCAUCCAGAAUAUUUUGAGUUGAUAGAAACCUUGUGAUGACUUCACUGUACCUAUGUACAAAGCUUAAUCCAAAACAGAAUCUGUUUGAGCUUAUGGUUUUAUAAACUCACAUAUUGAUUCUUCUUUUAAAACUGGUGUACUGUUAAAGUUCAAAUUAAAUUGGUCUAUUCAAUUUAAUGGUCAUGUUAGGGUUUACACAGGUUACUAAGUGAAUUUUGACACUAAAAUGUUAACAUGCAUAUUGUUUACACAUUGUUGUUUUCCCAAGAGGGAGCAUCAACGUUAUGCUACGUGUGAACCCACACUCUCAGAAAAAAAAGGUACACAAGUUGUCACUGGAGCAGUACUAUUUUAAAAGGUACACCUUUGUAUUGGUACCUUAAAGUUACAUACUAGUAAGCAAAGUGCACAUAUUAGUACCUAAAAGGUCCAAAAGUGGACCUUUUGAAAAGGUAUCACCACAGUGACAGUUGUGUACCUUUUUUUUUCUGAAUGUAGGUUCAACAUUGAUGCUCACUCUUGGGAGUGACAUUUCUUUCAUCUUAGUAUUCGACCAGUAUUUAUGUAGAAUGUUUCCAUCCUACCAAAUUCGUCAGAGCAGAGUGUGUCUAAAUAUGUUGUUGUUGUUUUUUUUUGACAGCACCGUUCCUUAAGGCAAGACACUGCAGGAAAAAGCGUGUUAUUUCAGACUAGAAAAAAAAUCUUCCAAAAUACACAUUUAACUGUUUAUUUUAUUGCACUUUACAUAUAUACAUAUAAUCACACAAACAAACACACGCUAAAUCUAGCUUGAAGGCAGAAAAUGUGCUCGUGAUGCAUGUUCACACCCAGCUUUCUUCUUCAAGCCAAUAAAUAUCAGUCCAGUGAGCGUCUCAGACACUUUCUGAUCUUCAGCUCAGACUCAUCGAGACUCUUUCAUUCACACAAACUCAAGAACAACUCAAAGGAUGAGAACGGAGGUUUUCCUCGUGCUCCUCAUGACUCUGGUGUCCACUGAUGGACUGAAUAAUGUCACGUUCAACCGAGAGAAACGAGAUCUUUUCUCUACCACUGCAUAUCCCUGCCAGAGAUCUCAGAAUAACAACGCAUAUAAUACUUUUAAUCGCCGACAUAUUCUCUCAGAGGAUUUUGACAGGAACAGUGAAAGGGCUUGGGCAGAUUAUCUCAAUAGAAAGGGUCUUUGUGGCAGAACACCUGUUCAGUCCUUCCUCUCUAGAAGGUACAGCGAUAGAAUUAAAAGAAUCUGCAACGGAGAAGGCACCAGAGACACAGGAAACUUGUGCAUCAGUAUGAGAAGUUUCACAGUGUACAUUGUUGAAAGUUCUGUAAGAUACAGAGAGUGUGAAGUUCAUGUUCGUCGUGAGAACUCUUAUGUGACUGUUGCUUGUGAGGUCAUUGAUAACGAAUGUGUGCCUGUUCACUAUGAGAAACAAACUAACAGGCAACCAUCCCAACAUGGUCAGAUCUGCAGACCUUAAGCAGAGGAUGUACUAAGGAUACAUUUUUAACCAUUAAUUAAAAUGUUGCUAUGCCACAUGCAUGUAUAAACUGGAUAUAAUUCCAGAAUAAAAGCUUUCUUAGCAGAGCACAGUUUGGUUUUAUAAAACAAACUGAUGAGAUGUGUAGCUCAAAUGCUAUGUAAGUUGCUUUAAAUAAAAGCAUCUGCCAAAGCCA
Cyprinus carpio (common carp) is the source of this 3469-nucleotide RNA transcript. RefSeq lists it as uncharacterized. The transcript has 4 exons. The record is from RefSeq and is a predicted model, not a curated record. Lineage: Eukaryota; Metazoa; Chordata; Actinopteri; Cypriniformes; Cyprinidae.